GGAAUCUAAGUACCCAUAUCAUUGGAGCUUUGGGAUCACCCUUAUACCUAUGGCAAAGUCUGAGAAGCCAUAUGGUUUACCCUUAUAAGAGCUUAAAUAUAAGACUAUAUCUUUGUUUUGUACCACCAAUAACCAAUCUUGCAUGGUGUAAAUAUGAAUAAAACACCCCCUCCAUCCAAAAAAUUAUUUUUGUAAAAACCAAGGGCAUGGACAUGAAUAAUUUUUUUAAAAUGCUUUACCUCUUUUGGUGACUCCAAAGUCCUUCAUUGGUUGUAUAUGGUAAAUAGCUCCUUUUGUCUCUAUGAAGAAAUGCAAUUGAGCCUCCUUGAAAAGUUUGCAUGUCAUGCAGUGAGCUUAGUUAUUAUACUCUCAUGCUUACUUGUAUUAUCUAGAACUUGCCCCGUCAUCUCUCUAAGCUAAUU
This 422-nucleotide long non-coding RNA is filed under the name Capsicum annuum. RNAcentral's name for it is "long non-coding RNA (CANN_LNC015528)". The record is from RNAcentral. Lineage: Eukaryota; Viridiplantae; Streptophyta; Magnoliopsida; Solanales; Solanaceae.